Molecule: long non-coding RNA, 1122 nt
Filed under: Dromaius novaehollandiae (emu)
Lineage: Eukaryota; Metazoa; Chordata; Aves; Casuariiformes; Dromaiidae
Description: lncRNA (ENSDNVG00000009654.1)
Source: RNAcentral
CAGACCCUUUGCCAGUCCCUACCCUCUCCACAGACCCCAGUUAUGAUGUAUACUAUGAAGGGGAGCGUGUAGCUUUGACAUGCUUGGCUCCAACAAAGAAGACACUAGGUGGCUUUUGUUUCUUCAACCAAAGUGGGGACCAAAUCUACUGGAGAGCACCCUAUCACCACACAACUGCCUGGUUCCAACUCACAGCUACAAAAGCAUCCAAUGGAGAAUACACUUGCAUGUACUGGGUGGAGGAUUCCGGACAAAAAAUCUCUUCCAAUAGGAGCCUUCCUCUUUCAGUUAAGGUGCAGGAUGCUCCCAUGGCUCCAACUUUGUCCCUAGAACCUCAGCAAGAGGUCUACAUAUCCGGGGACUAUGUCAAGCUACUCUGCUCUGUCCCGUCAUCUGCAGACUAUGUUAGAGAAAUCCAGUACUAUGGGGACUUUGGACUUGCAAUCUCUAUCCCAGUAUCAGACAUUAAAAACUACAGCUACAACCUCAGUAUCACUGGAAAGGAGGUCUCUGGGUUUUACAGUUGUGCCUAUUUUGUAUUUUGGUCUACACGUCCUGUUCGCUCAGAGAGGAGUCACUGGGUCCAUGUCUAUGUGAAAAGCCAGAAAAUCAGCUGGAUCCGAGAGAUUGCUGUGGGUGGCUCAUUCUUUACCAUCAAUGGCCUCAUCUUUUUCUUCUCCCACUGCCUGAUGAAGAGAAGAGAUCUGGAGGAGGGAUUCGGGAUGGAAUAACAAUAUGAAGCAGAAGAAACAUCCCCAAAGGCUUUUUGCCCUAUUUAGUAAAGGCAAUCCAUUCCCUAGGACCUUGCCUAAUUCCCUCUUGCCUGUUUCAGUGUCCCCAAAAGACAACAGUGGUGAAUGCUGAACUGAAAUUACUUGGCCUGCUUCUCUCCUCUGUGCCUUCAAACGUCUCACAUCUCUCUGAUUAAAUCUGGGUGUUGUAUCUUUGUGGUGUGGGUUUCAUCAAAAGAUAUCCUCCAUCCUGGAGAAUGUGUUCGUGUGUGUUUGUGCAUGUGUGUGUGCAUCUGCUCCACCACACAUGUAACUCCACCAUGUUAUCAUUAAAUCCGGUUCUUACUUUCAUCUGAAAUUCAGACUCCUUUGUGGUACACCACUGCACCUU